UGUAAGAAAAAUAAUUUAAAAUAAAAAUAUUUAGUAUUAAUAAAGAAACUUAUAAAAGAUAAUAGUUAAUAGUAUUGUAAAAGAAUGUUAAUAUAUUGGUAAAGUAAUCAAAUAAUAGAAGUUAAAAUGUGCCUUGUGUAUCAUAAAAUAAUAAAUUAAUUUUUAUAAAAAAUAAUCCCGAAAAAAAGGUAGUUAGUUUGUUAAUAAAGUUUUUGUUUUAACAAAAUUAAUAAUAGCAACCUAGAGAUGAAAUAUCAGUCGAACUUUUAUAUCUGGUUUUAAAUAAAAUGAAUUUAAUUCAAGCUUUAUUUUAUAAAAAUAGAGUUAAAGAGUAGGGGGGUGAGCUUUUUACUCAAUUAUAAAAGAAAUAUAAAUUUAAAUAAAUAAUUCUUGAAAUUUAGGCUUAUAAGUAGCCAUUUUUUAAAAGUGUUUUAACUAAUAUUUGAAUUAAUUUAAUAUUUAAUAAAAUUUUAUUGUAGUAAUUUAAAACUAUUAGAAAUAAUAAUUAAAAGGUUAUUAUGUUCUUAUUAGUAUAAAUUUAUUUUAUUUAAAAAAUUUAUUUUAAUUUUAUAAAAUAUUAUAAUUUAAUUUGAUAUUUAAAAAGAACUCGGCAAAAAGAUUCUUGCCUGUUUAACAAAAACAUGUCUAUAUGAAGGUGUAUAUAGUUUGGCCUGCUCACUGAUUAAAUUAAAGAGCCGCAGUAUUUUGACUGUGCGAAGGUAGCAUAAUAAAUUGUCUUUUAAAUAAAGGCUUGAAUGAAAGGUUGGACAAAGUAUCAUCUGUUUCUUAAAUAUUUAUUGAAUUUGACUUUUAAGUGAAAAGGCUUAAAUAAAUCAAAAAGACGAUAAGACCCUAUAAAUCUUUACAAUAAAUAUAUUUUAUAUUUUAUAUUAUAAGUGUAUAAUAAAUAAAAAUAUAAAUUUGUUGCGCUGGGGCGGCGUAGAUAUAUAAAUAAACUGUCUAUAAUUUAAAUACAAUAAUCAUUGUUUAGUAAAAUUGAUCCUUAAAUAGAUUAAAAGAUUAAGAUACUUUAGGGAUAACAGCGUUAUUUUUUUUGAGAGUUCCUAUCGAAGAAAAAGUUUGCGACCUCGAUGUUGAAUUAAAGUAUCUUUAUGGUGUAGCCGCUAUAAGAGAGAGUCUGUUCGACUUUUAAUACUUUACAUGAUUUGAGUUCAGACCGGCGUGAGCCAGGUUGGUUUCUAUCUUUUGUUAUAUGUAAAAUUAUUUUAGUACGAAAGGAUUAAAUAAUUAAAAUAUUUUUAUAUUUUAGAAUAUUAAUACCCUUUCAAAAAAUUAA
This 1297-nucleotide ribosomal RNA is filed under the name Paralithodes brevipes. RNAcentral's name for it is "16S ribosomal RNA". The stretch from base 835 to 1209 matches the Rfam family "Bacterial large subunit ribosomal RNA", at positions 2073 to 2647 of the family's 2925-position model. The record is from RNAcentral. Lineage: Eukaryota; Metazoa; Arthropoda; Malacostraca; Decapoda; Lithodidae.